GUAGAAUCCUUCCAGUUAAUUUUAUCCAAAAUCAGGUUUGUAGUUAUGUUGUGGAGGGUAGUGUGCUGUAUAUGUCCUGGUGACAUAGUGUUGUGGAGGGUAGUGUGCUGUAUAUGUCCUGGUGACAUAGUGUUGUGGAGGGUAGUGUGCUGUAUAUGUCUUGGCCGAAUAAUCCAAGUUUAUCUAACUCUAAAUCUAUAUAUAUUUUUUUAAACAUGCUGAAAAAUGCAGGAGCUCACAUGCAGCUGUCUCUCUCUCCUCUCUCUCUCCGUCUCUUUCUCUCCGUCUCUGUCUCUCUCCUCUCUCUCUCUCUCCGUCUCUCUCUCUGUCUCUCUCUCUCCGUCUCUCUCUCCGUCUCUCUCCCCGUCUCUCUCCGUCUCUCUCUCUCUCUCCGUCUCUGUCUCUCUCCGUCUCUCUGUCUCUCUCCGUCUCUGUCCGUCUCUCUCUCUCUCUCUCUCCGUCUCUGUCUCUCUCCGUCUCUCUCUCUCUCCGUCUCUCUCCCUCUCUCUCCGUCUCUGUCUCCCUCCGUCUCUGUCUCUCUCUCUGUCUCUCUCUCUCUCUCUCCGUCUCUGUCUCUCUCCGUCUCUCUCUGUCUCUCUCCCUCUCUCUCCGUCUCUGUCUCUCUCCGUCUCUGUCUCUCUCCGUCUCUCUCUCUCUCUCUCUCUCUCUCCGUCUCUCUCUCCGUCUCUCUCUCUCUCCGUCUCUCUCUUUCUCGCUCUCUCUCUCUCUCCGUCUCUCUCUCCGUCUCUCUCCGUCUCUGUCUCUCUCCGUCUCUGUCUCUCUCUCUCUCUCUCUCUCUCCGUCGCUGUCUCUCUCCGUCUCUCUCCGUCUCUCUCCGUCUCUCUCUGUCUCUCUCUGUCUCUCUCUGUCUCUCUCCGUCUCUGUCUCUCUCCCUCUCUCUCUCUCCGUCUCUGUCUCUCUCUGUCUCUCUCUCUCUCUCCGUCUCUGUCUCUCUCUCUCCUCUUCUCUCUCUCUCUCUCUCCGUCUCUCUCUCUCUCUCUCCCCGUCUCUGUCUCUCUGUCCGUCUCUCUCUCUCUCUCCGUCUCUCUCUCCGUCUCUCUCCGUCUCUGUCUCUCUCCGUCUCUGUCUCUCUCUCUGUCUCUCUCUCUCUCUGUCUCUGUCUCUCUCCGUCUCUCUCUGUCUCUCUCUGUCUCUCUCCGUCUCUCUCUCUCUCCCUCUCUCUCUCUCCGUCUCUGUCUCUCUCUCUCCUCUCUCUCUCUCCGUCUCCGUCUCUGUCUCUCUCCGUCUCUCUCUCUCCGUCUCUCUCUCUCCGUCUCUGUCUCUCUGUCCGUCUCUGUCUCUCUCAGCUAUCUUCCAGAUAAUGCAAAGUGUCAGAACCUUCUCGUCGUGGGAAACAGCUUCAGCCCGUCCCUGAUACUCAGACAUCCUCCUCUCUAAACAUCAGCUGAUUCUGCAUACUGUCAAUGAAUGUCUCGCUCUCUCUCUGUCUGAUACUCAGACAUCCUCCUCUCUAUGUCAAGUUAAACAUCAGCUGAUUCUGCAUACUGUCAAUGAAUGUCUCGCUCUCUCUCUCUGUCUCUCUGUCUCUCUCCGUCUCUGUCUCUCUCCGUCUCUGUCUCUCUCUCUCUGUCUGAUACUCAGACAUCCUCCGUCUCUCUAUGUCAAGUUAAACAUCAGCUGAUUCCGCAUACUGUCAAUGAAUGUCUCGCUCUCUCUCGCUCUCCUCUUCAAACAAUGUCCAGGACUUUGUCUUUCUUAAUAUUGAUUGGUCUGUAUUGGUAAUGUUGAAACAUGAAAUGUGUUUUCUUUCUAGUUAUUGAAAUAACCAUUUUGUUUAUGGAAUGUUAAUGCCUGUUCUCCUGUUCUCUGAUCUGUACUCUGUUAGUAACACUGAUCCCAGGUCAGUUUGGUAUUGGUCCUACUGAUGGUUACUGUUGGGAUGUGGGGAGAGGAGACUGACCCUAGAGCAGGUGUAGACUGACUAGAGGGUGCUGUCCUUGUUUUGUUAUCUCACUUGUAUGAACACAUCCCUUCCAUGUCUCUCUAUCUUUAUCUAAUCCAGUCAUCGCUCUUUCAAUAUCAAUUAAAACAUUUAUUAAUUCAGUUUCCUUUAUUUGGCACAACGUAAGAAUGUACACUACCGUUCAAAAGUUUUGGGGUCACUUAGAAAUGUCCUUGUUUUUUUAAAGAAAAUCACUUUUUUUUGUCCAUUAAAAUAACAUCAAAUUGAUCAGAAAUACAGCGUAGACAUUGUUAAUGUUGUAAAUGACUAUUGUAGCUGGAAACGGCAGAUUUUUAAUGGAAUAUCUACAUAGGCGAACAGAGGCCCAUUAUCAGCAACCAUCACUCCUGUGUUCCAAUGGCACGUUGUGUUGAUCAUUAGAAAACCCUUUUGCAAUUAUGUUAGCUCAGCUGGAAACUGUUGUUCUGAUUAAAGAAGCAAUAAAACUGGCCUUCUUUACACUAGUUGAGUAUCUGGAGCAUCAGCAUUUGUGGGUUCCAUUACAGGCUCAAAAUGGUCAGAAACAAAGAACUUUCUUCUGAAACUCAUCAGUCUGUUCUUGUUCUGAGAAAUGAAGGCUACGCUGUGUACUACUCCCUUCACAGAACAGCGCAAACUGGCUCUAACCAGAAUAGAAAAAGGAGUGGGAGGCCCCGGUGCACAACUGAGCAAGAGGACAAGUACAUUAGAGUGUCUAGUUUGAGAAACGGACUCCUCACAAGUCCUCAACUGGCAGCUUCAUUAAAUAGUACCAGCAAAACACCAGUCUCAACGUCAACAGUGAAGAGGCGACUCCGGGAUGCUGCCCUUCUAGGCGGAGUUGCAGAGAAAAAGCCAUAUCUCAGACUGGCCAAUAAAAAGAAAAGACUAAGAUGGGCAAAAGAACGCAGACACUGGACAGAGGAACUUCUUAAGUUACUCAGUUACAGGUUAAUAAGGAUCCGUCGCUUUUUUCAAUUUUCGCCUAAAAUGACAUACCCAAAUAUAACUGCUUGUAGCUCAGGACCUGAAGCAGGGAUAUGCAUAUUCUUGGUACCAUUUGAAAGGGAACACUUUUAAGUUUGUGGAAAUGUGAAAGGAAUGUAGGAUAAUAUAACACAUUAGGUCUGGUAAAAGAUAAUGCAAAGAAAAAAACAAACGUCUAAAAAAAACAAUGUACCAUCAUCUUUGAAAUGCAAGAGAAAGGUCAUAAUGUAUUAUUCCAGCCCAGCUGCAAUUUAGAUUUUGGCCACUAGAUGGCAGCUGUGUAUGUGCAAAGUUUUAGACUGAUCCAAUGAACCAUUGCAUUUCUGUUCAACAUUUUGUAUCAAGACUGCCCAAAUGUGCCUAAUUUGUUUAUUGGUAAGUUUUCAAGUUCAUAACUGCACUCUUCUCAAACAAUAGCAUGGUAUUCUUUCACUGUAGUAACUACGGUACAUUGGACAGUGCAGUUAGAUUAACAAGAAUUUAAGCUUUCUGCCAAUAUCAGACAUGUCUAUGUCCUGGGAAAUGUUCUUGUUACUUACAGCCUCAUGCUAAUCGCAUUAGCCUAACCUAAAAAGUUUAGAACCACAGAGAUUCUUUCUAGAGCUGGCCGGCCAAACUCAGCAAUCAGGGGAGAAGGGCCUUGGUCAGGGUGCUCAGGACCUCAGACUGGGGUGAAGGUUCAUCCAUCAACAGGACAACGACCCUAAGCACACAGCCAAGACAACUCAGGAGUGGCUUCAGGACAAGUCUCUGAAUGUCCUUGAGUGGCCCGGCCAGAGCCCGGACUUGAACCAGAUCAAACAUCUCUGGAGAGACCUGAAAAUAGCUGUGCAGCGACGCUUCCCAUCCAACCUGACAGAGCUUGAGAGGAUCUGCAGAGAAGAAUGGGAGAAACUCCCCAAAUACAGGUGUGCCAAGCUUGUAGCGUCAUACCCAAGAAGACUCGAGGCUGUAAUCGCUGCCAAAGGUGCUUCAACAAAGUACUGAGUAAAGGGGCUGAAUACUUAUGUAAAUGUGUUCAUUUUUUUUAUUUUUAAUAAAUUAGCAAACAUUUCUAAAAACCUGUUUUUCCUUUGUCAUUAUGGGUUGUUGUGUGUAGAUGGGUGAGGGG
Molecule: long non-coding RNA, 4040 nt
Filed under: Salmo salar (Atlantic salmon)
Lineage: Eukaryota; Metazoa; Chordata; Actinopteri; Salmoniformes; Salmonidae
Description: lncRNA (ENSSSAG00000096956.1)
Source: RNAcentral